AGCUCCAAUAGGAUAUAUCAAAGUUGUUGCAGUUGAAAAGCUCGUAGUCGUGGGUGGGGCUGUUAGGGCUCCGUUUGCCCCAGCUUUGUUGGGGCUCCGUCACUGAGAGCAAACUGGAGUGCUCAAGGCGGCCGCGGGCAAUGCGGCUGUGAACAUCUUAGCUUGGAAUGACAAGGCACGACGCUCGCUCUUGUUGGUCGAUUGCGGGGUAAUGGCAAACAGGAACAGUCGCGGGGACACUCGUACUGGAAAGCUAGAGGUGAAAUUCUUGGAUUUUUCCACGACGAACGACUGCGAAGGCAUCUGUCCAGGAUGUUUUCA
This 321-nucleotide ribosomal RNA is filed under the name uncultured eukaryote. RNAcentral's name for it is "SSU rRNA". It matches the Rfam family "Eukaryotic small subunit ribosomal RNA", at positions 587 to 972 of the family's 1831-position model. The record is from RNAcentral.